AAACCAACUGGGAUUACCUUAGUAACGGCGAGUGAAGCGGUAAAAGCUCAAAUUUGAAAUCUGGUACUUUCAGUGCCCGAGUUGUAAUUUGUAGAAUUUGUCUUUGAUUAGGUCCUUGUCUAUGUUCCUUGGAACAGGACGUCAUAGAGGGUGAGAAUCCCGUUUGGCGAGGAUACCUUUUCUCUGUAAGACUUUUUCGAAGAGUCGAGUUGUUUGGGAAUGCAGCUCAAAGUGGGUGGUAAAUUCCAUCUAAAGCUAAAUAUUGGCGAGAGACCGAUAGCGAACAAGUACAGUGAUGGAAAGAUGAAAAGAACUUUGAAAAGAGAGUGAAAAAGUACGUGAAAUUGUUGAAAGGGAAGGGCAUUUGAUCAGACAUGGUGUUUUUUGCAUGCACUCGCCUCUCGUGGGCUUGGGCCUCUCAAAAAUUUCACUGGGCCAACAUCAAUUCUGGCAGUAGGAUAAAUCAUUAAGAAUGUAGCUACCUCGGUAGUGUUAUAGCUUAUUGGAAUACUGCUAGCUGGGAUUGAGGACUGCGCUUCGGCAAGGAUGU
RNAcentral lists this ribosomal RNA (550 nucleotides) under Hanseniaspora opuntiae. RNAcentral describes it as "LSU rRNA". It matches the Rfam family "Eukaryotic large subunit ribosomal RNA", at positions 62 to 626 of the family's 3401-position model. The record is from RNAcentral. Lineage: Eukaryota; Fungi; Ascomycota; Saccharomycetes; Saccharomycodales; Saccharomycodaceae.